GCGCCCAUGGUGGAAUGGUAGACACACUGGACUGAGACUCCAGGCUCGAAUGAGCGUCCGGGUUCGACUCCCGGUGGGCGUAC
RNAcentral lists this transfer RNA (83 nucleotides) under Streptomyces phage NootNoot. RNAcentral's name for it is "tRNA-Leu". It matches the Rfam family "tRNA". From Rfam's summary of the family: Transfer RNA (tRNA) molecules are approximately 80 nucleotides in length. Lineage: Duplodnaviria; Heunggongvirae; Uroviricota; Caudoviricetes; Stanwilliamsviridae. The record is from RNAcentral. RNAcentral also lists the same sequence under 1 other name.